AAAUGCGAUAAGUAAUGUGAAUUGCAGAAUUCAGUGAAUCAUCGAAUCUUUGAACGCACAUUGCGCCCGCCAGCAUUCUGGCGGGCAUGCCUGUUCGAGCGUCAUUUCAACCC
RNAcentral lists this ribosomal RNA (113 nucleotides) under Colletotrichum gloeosporioides. RNAcentral describes it as "5.8S ribosomal RNA". It matches the Rfam family "5.8S ribosomal RNA", at positions 51 to 154 of the family's 154-position model. Rfam says of the family: 5.8S ribosomal RNA (5.8S rRNA) is a component of the large subunit of the eukaryotic ribosome. Lineage: Eukaryota; Fungi; Ascomycota; Sordariomycetes; Glomerellales; Glomerellaceae. The record is from RNAcentral.